This 253-nucleotide ribosomal RNA is filed under the name uncultured microorganism. RNAcentral describes it as "partial 16S ribosomal RNA". It matches the Rfam family "Bacterial small subunit ribosomal RNA", at positions 524 to 776 of the family's 1533-position model. The record is from RNAcentral.
UACGGAGGUGGCGAGCGUUGUUCGGAGUUACUGGGCGUAAAGCGCACGUAGGCGGUGCGGUAAGUCAGGGGUUAAAGGCUGCAGCUCAACUGCAGUAAGGCCUUUGAUACUAUCGUGCUAGAGUGUCAGAGAGGAUGGCGGAAUUCCCGGUGUAGCGGUGAAAUGCGUAGAUAUAGGGAGGAACACCGGUUGCGAAGGCGGCUACCUGGCCGGUAACUGACGCUGAGGUGCGAGAGCGUGGGGAGCAAACAGG